This 271-nucleotide long non-coding RNA is filed under the name Gossypium barbadense (sea-island cotton). Its description in RNAcentral is "long non-coding RNA (GBAR_LNC008125)". The record is from RNAcentral. Lineage: Eukaryota; Viridiplantae; Streptophyta; Magnoliopsida; Malvales; Malvaceae.
CAAAUCAAUUUUUUCAUUAUACAGAAUUCGAAAUAUGUUAUCGUUUACUUCAUUUGAAACUAGACUCAUUAAGGAGUCUAAGAAUAUAAAUUUUAUCUUAUAAUCAUCAUUGUACAAUUUACAAUGAUUUUCUAAAGAUAGAACAGGGGAUUUCAAAGUCAUUUUGACUCUGUCUCACUCCACUUCAAAUAUCUCAUUAUCUAAAAUUCUUUUUCUUACAUGGUUUCUUUUAUAAGAAACUAGACUCAUUAAGCUUUAAUUUCAUAAUUUA